AGGGGAGUGGCUCAACGGUAGAGCAACGGUCUCCAAAACCGUAGGUUGCGGGUUCAAAUCCUGUCUCCCCUGCCA
Molecule: transfer RNA, 75 nt
Filed under: Clostridiaceae bacterium
Lineage: Bacteria; Bacillati; Bacillota; Clostridia; Eubacteriales; Clostridiaceae
Also listed under: 2 other names
Description: tRNA-Trp
Rfam family: tRNA
About the family: Transfer RNA (tRNA) molecules are approximately 80 nucleotides in length. Their secondary structure includes four short double-helical elements and three loops (D, anti-codon, and T loops).
Source: RNAcentral